This is a long non-coding RNA of Mytilus trossulus (common blue mussel), 314 nucleotides long. RefSeq lists it as uncharacterized. The record is from RefSeq and is a predicted model, not a curated record. NCBI's taxonomy places the organism in Eukaryota, Metazoa, Mollusca, Bivalvia, Mytilida, Mytilidae. The transcript is spliced from 2 exons.
AGGGUAGUGCAGCUUUUUGGUAUAACUUGGAAUUAAAUGGGAUAUAGACCAACGCAUGUUGCAUGCUGGAUGUCCUGUUCUUGUUGGUUAUAAAUGGGUGAGUAACAAGUGGAUUAGAGAACGUGGACAGAUGUUUAAAAGACCAUGCGGAUUGAAAAAGAAAUCAAAAGAAAGAAGACUAUGGAAUUUGUAUUAAAAGAGUCUACUUGUUUAUGCUUUAUAUGAUUUAUUAAAAAAAAAGUAUCAGUUUUCAUUAUUCACACCUAUUUGCUACUGAAAUAUGUAAAAUUAUCAUUAAACAAAUAUAACAUUGA